CCAGACUCCUACGGGAGGCAGCAGUGAGGAAUAUUGGUCAAUGGGCGAGAGCCUGAACCAGCCAAGUCGCGUGAGGGAAGACUGCCCUAUGGGUUGUAAACCUCUUUUGUCAGGGAGCAACGCCGGCUACGUGUAGCCGGACUGAGAGUACCUGAAGAAAAAGCAUCGGCUAACUCCGUGCCAGCAGCCGCGGUAAUACGGAGGAUGCGAGCGUUAUCCGGAUUUAUUGGGUUUAAAGGGUGCGUAGGCGGACGCUUAAGUCAGCGGUAAAAUGGCGGGGCUCAACCUCGGCGAGCCGUUGAAACUGGCGUUCUUGAGUGGGCGAGAAGUAUGCGGAAUGCGUGGUGUAGCGGUGAAAUGCAUAGAUAUCACGCAGAACCCCGAUUGCGAAGGCAGCAUGCCGGCUUCCGACUGACGCUGAAGCACGAAAGCGUGGGGAUCGAACAGGAUUAGAUACCCUAGUAA
RNAcentral lists this ribosomal RNA (465 nucleotides) under uncultured bacterium. Its description in RNAcentral is "bacterial SSU rRNA". It matches the Rfam family "Bacterial small subunit ribosomal RNA", at positions 331 to 793 of the family's 1533-position model. The record is from RNAcentral.